CUCAGUUCAUUUUGCUGCCGUAUCGCCGCCCGAGUUGUGGACUUCCACGAUUCCUCAGGAGCAUUUCGUGUUACACCCUCCUGUCUUGGUGUGCCUCCGCAACUCCAACUUGUCUGGGUUCUUUUUUCUACACCCCUUCUGUGUGGGAAGAAAAAGUCGAUCCCUUGUUGAGUUUGGUCGACUUUUGCGAAAUGUCGAUCCCAGUGGUGUUUGUUGACUUUUGUCAAAAAGUCGAUUCCCUGUGUCUUUGCAUCGCUUCCCUUGUGAAAAAGUCGAUUCCUG
Molecule: long non-coding RNA, 282 nt
Filed under: Zostera marina
Lineage: Eukaryota; Viridiplantae; Streptophyta; Magnoliopsida; Alismatales; Zosteraceae
Description: long non-coding RNA (ZMAR_LNC004268)
Source: RNAcentral